RNAcentral lists this long non-coding RNA (949 nucleotides) under Homo sapiens (human). RNAcentral describes it as "HSALNT0051327". Lineage: Eukaryota; Metazoa; Chordata; Mammalia; Primates; Hominidae. The record is from RNAcentral.
UGCCAGGGAGUGUAGAACCAUAUUUAGCUUUUUUCAGACACCAGGUGACCUGUACUCCUCUCUUCUUUCACCUGGUUCUAUCUCAAAUGGCCCAGUUUGAUCUUCUAUCCUUCCUGGAGGCCUCUGCAGCUCAUGUGGCAGGAGGCUGAGAACCCUUUCUGCAUCAACAAAGGAAAGACUGUUCCCAAGAAGGGUUUCAAAAUUUUAGGCAUUAUUGUGUUUUGCCACUUCCACAGGGCUCCUGCCUUAUCAUUCACUACUUUUGUCUUCUAUUGAUUUACUUUUCUUAACAUGUAAAUAUCUUUAUUUCAAAAGGGCAAUUUUGAACAAUAAAUAAGCAGAGAAGUAAGACUGGAAAUUAUUACAUUCUGGACAGCUAGAGUCUCAGGCCAUGUCUUUGUCUUAGGGGAAAUUAACAAAUGGCAGAGAGGUGGUAAGGAUAUAGUAACGCAGCACUGAGGCUUUAUCCAUGAAUGAAUCAGGACUGAAUGGCAAAAAAUGUGAAAACUUCAUGCACAUCUGAAAAGACUUCCUUUCCUCAAGGACGUUAUCACCAAAUCCUAGGAAUUUUUCAUAAUAAAAAUACAAGAAUAAAAGUGUACAAAGUAACUGGCACCUCUCAGUGGUCCUCUUGAGCAGUGCACAACCUGCCCAACCAUCCAUGACAGCCUGGUGUUCCACUCAUGUUAUUUAACAUUCCCACGCAUACACCUGGAGCUCUGCCCAAAAUACCUCCCCUCGCCCUGACAUACACCCUUUGGCAAGCCUCACUCUCAGACAUACAAGCAGCCCAAGGAGGAGGGAAGAGACCACAGCUUACACGAGCUCUUGUGUUCCCUUCUUCGCUGCCUCCUCCGCCCCAUUGUAGUUCGAGGACUCAUGGGCUCUCCACCCCACCACACAGUGGGUGCUGGGAAGCCACCCAACCACAGGGAGAGAUGGGGAUGCC